This 530-nucleotide ribosomal RNA is filed under the name Candidatus Woesebacteria bacterium. Its description in RNAcentral is "bacterial SSU rRNA". It matches the Rfam family "Bacterial small subunit ribosomal RNA", at positions 997 to 1533 of the family's 1533-position model. The record is from RNAcentral. Lineage: Bacteria; Candidatus Woeseibacteriota.
GUCUAGGAAACUAGAUCUUCUUCGAGAGUGGUACACAGGUGAUGCAUGGCUGUCGUCAGCUCGUGUCGUGAGACGUCCACUUAAGUGUGGUAACGAGCGCAACCCUUAUCGUAUGUUAUAAGUGUCAUACGAGACUGCCCCCGCUUUGCGGGGGAGGAAGGAGAGGACGACGUCAAGUCAGCACGUCCCUUACAUCCAGGGCAACACACAUCCUACAAUGGAGCCGACAACGGGUAGCGACGGGGUGACCCCGAGCCAAUCCUCAUAAACGGCCCCUCAAUUCGGAUUGAAGGCUGCAAUUUGCCUUCAUGAAGUCGGAAUCGGUAGUAAUCGCAAAUCAGCAGGUUGCGGUGAAUACGUUCUCGCUCCUUGUACACACUGCCCGUCAAGCCAGCAAAGUCAGCAACGCCCGAAGCGGGUGUUCGGAACUCGCCUUUGGCGAGACCGACCCUUCUACGGCGAGGUUGGCGAUGAGGACUAAGUCGUAACAAGGUAUCUGUACUGGAAGGUGCGGAUGGAUUACCUCCUUU